This 446-nucleotide ribosomal RNA is filed under the name uncultured bacterium. RNAcentral describes it as "partial 16S ribosomal RNA". It matches the Rfam family "Bacterial small subunit ribosomal RNA", at positions 338 to 795 of the family's 1533-position model. The record is from RNAcentral.
CCUACGGUGAGCAGCAGUCGAGAAUCAUUCACAAUGGGGGAAACCCUGAUGGUGCGACGCCGCGUGGGGGAAUGAAGGUCUUCGGAUUGUAAACCCCUGUCAUGUGGGAGCAAAUUAAAAAGAUAGUACCACAAGAGGAAGAGACGGCUAACUCUGUGCCAGCAGCCGCGGUAAUACAGAGGUCUCAAGCGUUGUUCGGAAUCACUGGGCGUAAAGCGUGCGUAGGCUGUUUCGUAAGUCGUGUGUGAAAGGCGCGGGCUCAACCCGCGGACGGCACAUGAUACUGCGAGACUAGAGUAAUGGAGGGGGAACCGGAAGUCUCGGUGUAGCAGUGAAAUGCGUAGAUAUCGAGAGGAACACUCGUGGCGAAGGCGGGUUCCUGGACAUUAACUGACGCUGAGGCACGAAGGCCAGGGGAGCGAAAGGGAUUAGAUACCCCAGUAGUC